CUUGACGGAGCCGAGCAGCAGCGGCCGCCCGGGGUCGCGGUCCUGGCCGUAGGUGGCGAGGAGCGCCUGGGCCUC
This 75-nucleotide antisense RNA is filed under the name Streptomyces caelestis. Its description in RNAcentral is "ASpks TB sRNA". It matches the Rfam family "ASpks TB sRNA". The record is from Rfam by way of RNAcentral. RNAcentral also lists the same sequence under 1 other name. Lineage: Bacteria; Bacillati; Actinomycetota; Actinomycetes; Kitasatosporales; Streptomycetaceae.